UCUUUCGUGGUGUAGCGGUCAGCACGCUGGGCGCGUAUUCCAGAGGUCCGUGGUUCGAGUCCCGGCGAAGGCG
This 73-nucleotide transfer RNA is filed under the name Stegodyphus mimosarum. It matches the Rfam family "tRNA". Rfam says of the family: Transfer RNA (tRNA) molecules are approximately 80 nucleotides in length. The record is from Rfam by way of RNAcentral. Lineage: Eukaryota; Metazoa; Arthropoda; Arachnida; Araneae; Eresidae.